CACUCACACACUCACACACACUCACACACACACGCACACGCACGCACACACGGAGCAUCCUUCCGUCAGGUCUCCAGGUCCAGCCCCGCCCGCGCUCCUGCUUCCUGCAAACCUUCCUCUGCCCCCAAACUGCCCCCGCUCUCCAUUUCUCUCCGGCUGCGGGACCCUCCCCGCCGACCCUCCCCCCCCACCCCGGGAUGGAGCGUCUUGAGCCAGCCCGGAGCCCCCCGCGACCGGGGUGACGGUCCCUCGCCCCUCUCCUGCCCGGCCCCCGCCUUGAGCACCAUGGGCCUGAGGGGUUCCCGAGGCGCCAGCCACUGAAGAUGACCGAUGCUAGAGAGUUCAAGAAUGUUGGGAAGGUUCUUGGAGGCCCUGCAUCACCAACUCCUCCCCUACCCUGCUCAACCCCAGGGGGUGUUUUUUCCUCAGGAGUACCCCAGGAGUUUCAGGCCAUCCCUCAAGAUAGUGCUGAGAACCAGGCAUGGGUCAAGGCAGAGUUCUGCUUCUUCUGCAUCUCAAGUUUUCACAUCUGAAAAGUGGGGAUACUAAGAUCUCAAGCCUGGCUGGCUCACAGUGAGACCAUUAGGAACAGAGAAGGAG
Molecule: long non-coding RNA, 600 nt
Filed under: Urocitellus parryii (Arctic ground squirrel)
Lineage: Eukaryota; Metazoa; Chordata; Mammalia; Rodentia; Sciuridae
Description: lncRNA (ENSUPAG00010005697.1)
Source: RNAcentral